GAUGAAGAACGCAGCGAAAUGCGAUACGUAAUGUGAAUUGCAGAAUUCAGUGAAUCAUCGAGUCUUUGAACGCACAUUGCGCCCCCUGGUAUUCCGGGGGGCAUGCCUGUCCGAGCGUCAUUGCUGCCCUCAAGCACGGCUUGUGUGUUGGGCCUCCGUCCUCCUCCGGGGGACGGGCCCGAAAGGCAGCGGCGGCACCGCGUCCGGUCCUCGAGCGUAUGGGGCUUCGUCACCCGCUCUUGUAGGCCCGGCCGGCGCUUGCCGACACAUCAAUCUUUUUUCCAGGUUGACCUCGGAUCAGGUAGGGAUACCCGCUGAACUUAAGCAUAUCAUAGCGGAGGA
This 342-nucleotide unclassified non-coding RNA is filed under the name soil metagenome. RNAcentral describes it as "partial contains 5.8S ribosomal RNA, internal transcribed spacer 2, and large subunit ribosomal RNA". The stretch from base 1 to 120 matches the Rfam family "5.8S ribosomal RNA", at positions 35 to 154 of the family's 154-position model. The record is from RNAcentral.